Molecule: long non-coding RNA, 1212 nt
Organism: Lotus japonicus
Lineage: Eukaryota; Viridiplantae; Streptophyta; Magnoliopsida; Fabales; Fabaceae
Exons: 2
Source: RefSeq, a predicted model, not a curated record
AAGAAAGACAAAAAAUCACUAUUUCUAAGAGAACUUUCAAUCUGGGCCGUUUAUUUGACUCUCUCUCCAUUUUCUCUCUUUAAUCAUGGCCCUUGAUCUGUGAGACUUUUUUCUCCUGAUUCUCUAUUUCCCUGACGUCACAGAAGGCGUUGAUGGAGUAUGCAUUGAAGGAGAGGAGUGUGUCCAUGGUUUGAUUUCGUGGGUAAUUGUCAUCCAUGCAGGCCCUGUCUCUGUAGCGUGAUUUAGGAGUUAUGGAAGUCCUCUGUUCCUGUGGUUAGGUUAGGUUUGGUUGCAGAAGGGGGAUCUGUUGAAGUUCCGUUCAAGCAGGAAUACGAAGCUGAGUUGUGUGAUAUCAUCAUCUCAGGGUCAGGUCAUCUCAGUUUCAGAGCAAAGAGAAGGAGAAGGACGAAGCUGGUGGGAGGACAAGGAAGAAUCUUUGGUGUACUGUAGAUUGGGUUAGGUUAGGAUUAGGUGGAGAAGAGAGGACGGGUUGAAAUUCAGAGCAAGGAGAUGGUGGAAGUUUUCACUGUCAGAGUGUCAGGAGAGGAGCAGAAUCAGACCUUGAUGUCGGAUCACAUCAGUUGACUACAAUCCUGGUGAAGCAGGAGAAAGAAGAGCAUCUUCUUUGCGGGUUCUAAUCAUUGACUUAGAGUUGCAAAUGUUAGUUUAGCCGGUACUGCAUUGACAUCUCUGGUUUUCAUUUCUAAAAUGUUAAUUAUCAUGAUUUAGUUUUGCUUUUCUUUCCCUAACAAAGCUAAAUUGUUCUUAUCUUCACUGCAUGGAAGAACCAUUCUCCACCAGGUCUGCAAGAAUUCUGAUUUGGUUAUGAUUUUGUUCUUUAGUUGCUUACUUGCCUUAUAAUGGUUUGCAUUUUGUUUUGGUUUUCGUUUUAUGAACUUAUCGUUGCUCUGUUAUGCCUCUGGUUGGAGUGGUUGAUCUUCAUUGUAAAUGUAAAUUAAAUGGCUCAUCAUCUUCAUGAAAUGUCAAUACUCAUAGUACAAACACUGUUGUCCAUUUGUAUGGAGGAUCUGCCAAAUUUGAAUGGGUUAUGCGAAAGAGAUCCUGCUUCCUUAUGAGUAAAAUUGCUCAAUGUGUUCAUGACUUAAAGGCCUUAUUAGUUGGAUGGGUUGUAUGGUUGCCCUCUUUACCCUUUCUUCCUUUGGAUUUAAAGAUAAUAAUGAACUUUCAUUCCUUCAGAAAGUUUUGCUCAAA